RNAcentral lists this long non-coding RNA (4437 nucleotides) under Sus scrofa (pig). Its description in RNAcentral is "lncRNA (ENSSSCG00030065840.1)". Lineage: Eukaryota; Metazoa; Chordata; Mammalia; Artiodactyla; Suidae. The record is from RNAcentral.
CUAGGGCCGCUCCCUCGGCAUAUGGAGGUUCCCAGGCUAGGGGUUCAAUUGGAGCUGUAGCCACCGGCCUAUGCCAGAGCCACAGCAACGCAGGAUCCGAGCCACAUCUGCGACCUACCCCACAGCUCACGGCAACACCAGAUCCUUAUCCCACUGAGCAAGGCCAGGGAUCAAACCCUCAACCUCAUGUUACCUAGUCGGACUCGCUAACCACUGAGCCACAACGGGAACGCCCAAAUAUUUCUUUCUUAUUCAGGACUCAGAUCAAAUGUCCCCUCCUCAGACAGGCCUUCCCUGUCCAGCCAAUCUAAAUAAGCUCCCCACCCAUCACCCAUCACCCACGGCCACAUCACCUGUUUUGUUUUCUUAAGUGCUCUUAUCAUUGUCUGAAACAACCUGGCCCAGUUACUGGCUUACUUACUGGUUGCUUGUGUUUCCUGCCAGAAUGUAAGUUUCAAGCCAAGAGCACUGCCUGGUGUGAGUGAGCAGAUGUUCAGGAAAUACUUGGGGAUGGAAAAAAAAAGAAUUCCUGAAAGUGGAGGCCGGAGAUUUAUUUGUUCCAAAUCUAAUAGGUACUUUAAAGUUCUGGUAUGAGUCUUCUCCAACAUUUGACAUCAGGAUGAUCUGCUCUGUCUCUAAGUCAUCACUUCCCUGGGCUUCUGUAACCUGCCAUUGAGAUUCUAGUCUUGGGCACUUUUCUUUCCAGUUUCUCUUAAAAGCUCCUCCUCCUCCGCCCAUCCCCGACUUUCUGCUUUUCAGAGAGUUCCAUCCUAGUGCUUCUUCUUCCCCAAUUCCACAUCAUCGAGCAAGGUCACCUCAGCCACUGCUGAAACCGUGUGCAAGCCCCUAAAUCGUUGUGUUCUUUCCUUUAGCCUCUCUGGCCUCCUCUCCGUCUCAAAAGGCUGACUCAAGAGUUAACGAUUAGGGAGUUCCUGCUGUGGCUCAGCAGUAACGAACCCAACUAGUUUCCAUGAGGACAUGGGUUUGAUCCCUGGCCAUGCUCAGCGGGUGAAGCAUCCAGUGUUGCUAUGAGCUGUGGUGUAGAUCACAGAUAGAGCUCGGAUCUGGCAUUGCUGUGGGCAUGGUACAGGCUGGCAGCUGCAGCUCCAAUGUGACUCCAUGGCCUGGGAACUUCCAUAUUGCCACAGGUGCAGCCUUAAAAGAAAAAAAUAAGUAAAUAAAAAACAAACCAUAAUGGAAAAGAAUAUUUUUUUAAAAGAGUUAAUGAUUAGGAACUAUUGUUACAGCUAAAAGUUAGCCAAAACAGUCUCCAUGAUGUUAAGCCCUGCCUUGGUCCACUAACUUACUACUAAUGAUGACUUUCUAGUUAGAGUUAUAUUGUGCCUAGUGUCCAGCUUUUUACAAAUGACCUCUUCCUGACUUAAUCGCUUUCUUUUACGAAUGAUGGCUUUCUAGUUAGAGUUCUACUGCACCUAGUGGUUUCCUUUGUAAUUGAAACACUUCCUAACACCGCUUCCCCACAAGCCAUCUUCUUUCCAGAGAAAAGGUCAAGGAAGGAUAACCUUGACCAAAGACAACCGGAAACCGUCACCAGAUGGACUGACACCAGAACUGACAACUGGAAUGAUCUAUGGGUCAAGAAUAAUAUGACUCCUUAAUCUAUAACCCCGUCUUCUGAGCUAAACCUAUAAAACCCCUUGCUAUCCCCUCUCAGGACAGGACACAGUGUUGAGGUGUUAGCCUGCUGUGUCCUCCUUUGCCUGGCAAAGCAAUAAAGCUGUUCUUUCUGCUUCACCCCAAACUCUGUCUCUGAGACUUAGCUGGUGCCGGUGUACAGAGGCCGUGUUUCGGCUACACUCCUACGUGUCAUCAUUCACCAUCUAUUUUCUCAUGACUCCCAAAUCUAUACCUCUCUCCCAGGUGCAAGCAGCCCCUGGGAUGUCCCCUCCAGUUCAACAGUGCCAGCCGAAACUGGUCACUUCCACCAGUCCCAAGCCACAUCCUCAGCAACCCCGCUGGCCCUGCUCCCCAACAACACACACUCCUCCCUCUUCUGCAUGAAGCUCUCAGUCCCCCCGCCCCUUGCCCUGAGUCUAGGAUCCAAAUUCCUCCCCAUGCCUUCCAAGACCAUUCAUGACGUGUCCCUUUGGCCACACCAACCAUCUGCACUACGCUCCCCCCUCACCUGUAGGAGCACAGACGCGCUUCUUCCUGGGUCGUGACCACACGUGCCUCCCCGUCUCUGCACCAGGGUUCAGACAACACUUGUCAAAUCAACACAUGGAUGGAAGAAUUUGGUGUUUCCUUUACCCUCGCUCUUGAGUCACUAUUUCUUUGAUCUGAGUCUAUAAGGCUUUGAACCUUCUUUUUUUUAUUUUUGUCUUUUUAGGGCCACACUCAAGGCAUGGAGCUUCCCAGGCUAGGGGUCAAAUCAGAGCUGUAGUCACUGGCCUAUGUCUCAGUCACAGCCACAUGUCUCAGUCACAGCCACGCCAGAUCCAAACCGCGUAUGCGACCUAAACCACAGCUCACAGCAACACUGGAUCCUUAACCCACUGAGCCAGACCAGGGAUCAAACUUGCGUCCUCAUGGUUACUAGUCAGAUUCGUUUCCUCUGAGCCAUGAUGGGAACUCCUGAACCUUCUUUUAAGAGCCCUAAUCCUCAUUUUUCUAUUCCUCCCUCAAUGCUGCACCACAAACCAACAUCCUAAUGACUUUCGGAGGAUCUGGGUUAAUUAGUGACUAGAGUUUGCCUCUCCCAGCUAAGAAUUUAGCUCAAUAUUUACAUUGUGCUGCCACCGGGUGCAUUUGGUAACAGUGACUAAGCGUCUUGGCAGCUUUCAAACUGUACAAAAGAAAUUCAAGGAUAACAUAAUAGAUCAUCAGGAACAACUGGUGAACAAGCAAUUUAUUAUAAAUAAGAUGCACAUUAAUAAGUUUCAUAUUAAGACAAGCAUCCAAAAGAAACUGCAAAACUGCUGUCUGCUCCAGAGAUGCCCCUGCCUCUGCAAUCGUCACCAGCUCCAUGGUCGCUGUCCUCUCAGCUCCUUGGCAUCAGCUGGACAGACCCCGUGAAUGCACGUGCAGCUGAACCAGCGUAGGAAGAGAGCUGAGAAGCCAACUCCCAGCCUGCCAGCCAGGCUAGCCCCAGGGGCGCUGUCACUUGCCACAUUCCUUGAAGGACCACACUCCUGCUACCUUCCCCUAAAUGUACUAUUGGGGUGGACAGUGACCCUGGGAGCCAGCGAGGGCUGUUGGCUGUUGCCUAUGGGCCAUGCUGUUUCUCCAACUGAACAGACUCAAGAAAGAGCAGCACCAAGUGCCCAUCAUGCAACAACCCCAGGCAGUGUCCCUGCCAGGCUACUUCCACUCAAAGGGACUGAGCGGGAAAUCCAUCCUGCAGAUGAACGGCAGCUGGUGCUCUGGGCCCCCAGCAGGGACCUUCAACACGACCCUGAAUUGCAGGGGUUGUUUGGUUUUGUUUUGUCUUAGGGCCUCACCCAAGGCAUAUGGCAGUUACCAGGCUAGGGGUCCCAUCAGAGCUGCAGCUGCCAACCUAAGCCACAGCCACAGCCACGGCAACUCGGGAUCCGAGCCACAUCUGCAACCUACACCACAGCUCACAGCAACACUGGAUCCUUAACCCACUGAGCAAGGCCAGGGAUCGAAUCCAUAUCCUCAUGGAUUCAUUACCACUAGUUGGAUUCAUUACCAUUGAGCUACAACAGGAACCUCCCCCACUUUUUUUUCUGAAUUGCAAUUUUGAGAAUGCACCCCAACCUCACUUCCCUCUUCUGGCUGAGUGACAGGGGCCUCUAUCAGUGGCGGGAGCCUAUUGUGGCCAGUUCCCCAAGGCACUGCCUUGAGAGGCCCCUCUGAGUCUGAUAAUGACCGCAGAACAACAGAUUCCCAAGGCUUGGGAAGGAGCAUCCUGACACUUAUUAACAACACAAUGAAUUAAAGUUGUAAUGAGGCGGAAAAAGCAAACCGGCCCUAAGGCUCAGCCUUAUACUCAGAGCUCUGAGGGAACUUACACAGGAAGAUCCCUGCUCUGGAGGCAGCUGGGACCUAGUUAAGGAAGAAAGACUUUUGCAUGUAAAAGUGACACCUUAUGUUGGAGCUCUUGGCCCUCCUGCACCCCCAGGCAUGCUCAGCUGCUGGGAGGGUCAGCACAGACAGCGUGGACAGACCAUCUGGGGCCAGAGCGGGCAGUGCUUAGAGUCUGCUAUGGGGUAGGGGCCCAUGACAAUGCUUUCAUUUCUUUUCAGAUCAGAAGAAAAAAGUGAUUAUAGUCCAAUCUGAGUUGCAUUCACCUUUAUUUAUUCAGUUAAUUAGCUUUUUUAGGGCCGCACCAGCAGCAUAUGGAAAUUCCCAGUUCAGGGGUCGAAUCGGAACUGCAGCUUCCAGCCUACACCACAGCCACAGUAAUUCAGGAUCUGAAGCCGAAGAUCUGAAGUAAUGCCACGCCGAAGCCUU